UAAUACGGAGGGUGCGAGCGUUGUCCGGAAUCACUGGGCGUAAAGGGCGCGUAGGCGGCCCGGUAAGUAGGGGGUGAAAUCUUGCGGCUUAACCGCAAGGCUGCCUUCUAGACUGCCAGGCUCGAGCACAGUAGAGGCAGGUGGAAUUCCCGGUGUAGCGGUGGAAUGCGUAGAGAUCGGGAAGAACAUCAGUGGCGAAGGCGGCCUGCUGGACUGUAGCUGACGCUGAGGCGCGACAGCGUGGGGAGCAAACAGG
This 256-nucleotide ribosomal RNA is filed under the name uncultured bacterium. RNAcentral describes it as "partial 16S ribosomal RNA". It matches the Rfam family "Bacterial small subunit ribosomal RNA", at positions 521 to 776 of the family's 1533-position model. The record is from RNAcentral.